Molecule: ribosomal RNA, 368 nt
Filed under: uncultured organism
Description: bacterial LSU rRNA
Rfam family: Bacterial large subunit ribosomal RNA
Source: RNAcentral
CUUUACUGUAACCUGGAAUUGGGUUCGGGCUCUGACUGCGCAGGAUAGGUGGGAGGCGUGGAAAGUGUCCUUGUGGGGACACUGGAGCCAACGGUGAGAUACCACUCUGUCAGAGCUAGAAUUCUAACCCCGACCCGUCAACCGGGGGGGAGACAGUUUCGGGCGGGCAGUUUGACUGGGGCGGUCGCCUCCUAAAAGGUAACGGAGGCGCGCAAAGGUUCCCUCGGGCCCGUUGGAAAUGGGCCGAUAGAGUGCAAAAGCAGAAGGGAGCUUGACUGUGAGACGGACAGGUCGAACAGGGACGAAAGUCGGCUUUAGUGAUCCGACGGCACCGCGUGGAAGGGCCGUCGCUCAACGGAUAAAAGUUA